AAUCUUGUAUUAAAUUUUUCACAAGAUGUUGCUAGAAAUCCAUAUACUCUACUUUGGACAAGAAGAGGGCCAUAGCUUCUUGGACAUCUAAGUAAUAGGACUUCUUUCCAUUUUAAAUACAAAGCUUGUAGUUGACUUGCUAUUUGUUAAGUUCCUUGUCCAAUUAGUAUUUUUAAAACUUGUUAUAAUGUGAUUAAAAAUAUUGAUGUAGAAAAUUCCAUAAUUUAAUGUUCUUACAAUAUAAUAGAGGAUGUAUUUAGUUAUUGCAAGGUCAAGUUAUUGUGGUCACUACAUGAACUUGCUUAUAAUAUCAAUAGAGU
RNAcentral lists this long non-coding RNA (320 nucleotides) under Physcomitrium patens. RNAcentral describes it as "long non-coding RNA (PPAT_LNC008766)". The record is from RNAcentral. Lineage: Eukaryota; Viridiplantae; Streptophyta; Bryopsida; Funariales; Funariaceae.